RNAcentral lists this ribosomal RNA (274 nucleotides) under uncultured bacterium. Its description in RNAcentral is "partial 16S ribosomal RNA". It matches the Rfam family "Bacterial small subunit ribosomal RNA", at positions 523 to 796 of the family's 1533-position model. The record is from RNAcentral.
AUACGGAGGGUGCGAGCGUUAAUCGGAAUUACUGGGCGUAAAGCGCGCGUAGGCGGUUUGGUCAGUCGGAUGUGAAAGCCCCAGGCUCAACCUGGGAAUGGCAUUCGAUACUGCCUGACUAGAGUAUGGUAGAGGGAAGUGGAAUUUCCGGUGUAGCGGUGAAAUGCGUAGAUAUCGGAAGGAACAACAGUGGCGAAGGAGACUUCCUGGGCCAAUACUGACGCUGAGGUGCGAAAGCGUGGGGAGCAAACAGGAUUAGAAACCCCAGUAGUCC